RNAcentral lists this ribosomal RNA (1531 nucleotides) under Escherichia coli. Its description in RNAcentral is "partial 23S ribosomal RNA". It matches the Rfam family "Bacterial large subunit ribosomal RNA", at positions 1291 to 2805 of the family's 2925-position model. The record is from RNAcentral. Lineage: Bacteria; Pseudomonadati; Pseudomonadota; Gammaproteobacteria; Enterobacterales; Enterobacteriaceae.
CGAAUGCUGACAUAAGUAACGAUAAAGCGGGUGAAAAGCCCGCUCGCCGGAAGACCAAGGGUUCCUGUCCAACGUUAAUCGGGGCAGGGUGAGUCGACCCCUAAGGCGAGGCCGAAAGGCGUAGUCGAUGGGAAACAGGUUAAUAUUCCUGUACUUGGUGUUACUGCGAAGGGGGGACGGAGAAGGCUAUGUUGGCCGGGCGACGGUUGUCCCGGUUUAAGCGUGUAGGCUGGUUUUCCAGGCAAAUCCGGAAAAUCAAGGCUGAGGCGUGAUGACGAGGCACUACGGUGCUGAAGCAACAAAUGCCCUGCUUCCAGGAAAAGCCUCUAAGCAUCAGGUAACAUCAAAUCGUACCCCAAACCGACACAGGUGGUCAGGUAGAGAAUACCAAGGCGCUUGAGAGAACUCGGGUGAAGGAACUAGGCAAAAUGGUGCCGUAACUUCGGGAGAAGGCACGCUGAUAUGUAGGUGAAGUCCCUCGCGGAUGGAGCUGAAAUCAGUCGAAGAUACCAGCUGGCUGCAACUGUUUAUUAAAAACACAGCACUGUGCAAACACGAAAGUGGACGUAUACGGUGUGACGCCUGCCCGGUGCCGGAAGGUUAAUUGAUGGGGUUAGCCGCAAGGCGAAGCUCUUGAUCGAAGCCCCGGUAAACGGCGGCCGUAACUAUAACGGUCCUAAGGUAGCGAAAUUCCUUGUCGGGUAAGUUCCGACCUGCACGAAUGGCGUAAUGAUGGCCAGGCUGUCUCCACCCGAGACUCAGUGAAAUUGAACUCGCUGUGAAGAUGCAGUGUACCCGCGGCAAGACGGAAAGACCCCGUGAACCUUUACUAUAGCUUGACACUGAACAUUGAGCCUUGAUGUGUAGGAUAGGUGGGAGGCUUAGAAGUGUGGACGCCAGUCUGCAUGGAGCCGACCUUGAAAUACCACCCUUUAAUGUUUGAUGUUCUAACGUUGACCCGUAAUCCGGGUUGCGGACAGUGUCUGGUGGGUAGUUUGACUGGGGCGGUCUCCUCCUAAAGAGUAACGGAGGAGCACGAAGGUUGGCUAAUCCUGGUCGGACAUCAGGAGGUUAGUGCAAUGGCAUAAGCCAGCUUGACUGCGAGCGUGACGGCGCGAGCAGGUGCGAAAGCAGGUCAUAGUGAUCCGGUGGUUCUGAAUGGAAGGGCCAUCGCUCAACGGAUAAAAGGUACUCCGGGGAUAACAGGCUGAUACCGCCCAAGAGUUCAUAUCGACGGCGGUGUUUGGCACCUCGAUGUCGGCUCAUCACAUCCUGGGGCUGAAGUAGGUCCCAAGGGUAUGGCUGUUCGCCAUUUAAAGUGGUACGCGAGCUGGGUUUAGAACGUCGUGAGACAGUUCGGUCCCUAUCUGCCGUGGGCGCUGGAGAACUGAGGGGGGCUGCUCCUAGUACGAGAGGACCGGAGUGGACGCAUCACUGGUGUUCGGGUUGUCAUGCCAAUGGCACUGCCCGGUAGCUAAAUGCGGAAGAGAUAAGUGCUGAAAGCAUCUAAGCACGAAACUUGCCCCGAGAU